GUUCCACAAUCAAUGUUUAUUACAUGUUUUUAUAUUUAUCCGGAACAAAUUGAACUGGACCGAUUUCUUACAUCACCGUAUUUAUCGACUGCCUUUAAUUUCUGUGACACCGUCCGCAUCAAUAUUUCUUCACAUGGAACAUGGACGACAUUUUAACUUUCUGAGGAAAUCGAGACAUACCACUGUCAAUUUACCAAUCUACUGACUACUUGUAAACCUUUCUGGUGGAAUACUAUAAUUACAAUUUUCAAAACAA
Molecule: long non-coding RNA, 256 nt
Organism: Mytilus californianus (California mussel)
Lineage: Eukaryota; Metazoa; Mollusca; Bivalvia; Mytilida; Mytilidae
Exons: 2
Source: RefSeq, a predicted model, not a curated record